This is a non-coding RNA of Pelodiscus sinensis (Chinese soft-shelled turtle), 2048 nucleotides long. The record is from RefSeq and is a predicted model, not a curated record. NCBI's taxonomy places the organism in Eukaryota, Metazoa, Chordata, Testudines, Trionychidae.
UGGAGCCGGGCGCCUCUUGGUGCCGAGGCUCAUUUUUCGGGGCUCCCGGGCUCUGGCGUGGGGGGGGCGGGAGGUGACCCGGCUCCAGGGCAGCCCCUGGUCCGUCACCCCUUGCCUGGUGCCGGAGCGCCACAGGGGAGUGCGCGUUGCCCCUGCUGGGGAUGGAGGGAGCUGCUCGCGGAUCCCCUGGGAUUUCCCCGCGAGCCUGCCCCCUAAGUUGUCCUUGCAGCCCCCAGUGUCUCGCCCCGGCGCGCUGGCUUUUGUUAGACCCGGUCCUGUGCGUACCCAGAGCGAAGCAGAAGUUUUAACUGCCUUCUUUCCUGUGUAACUGCCUUUUUGAGGAGGAGGAGGAGACCAGCAGAGUGAGGCUGAUCUGAGAGACUGAAGAAAUUGUUUUGGAGGGAGUUAGUCAAGAGAUGUAUUCUUCACUCCCAAGUGCCUGGGAGAUUUUGUAAGAUUCAUUAGAUUCUUCCAUCAGUGCUAUUUUCUCCCUGUGCCAAGGGGAGAUGCUAAGAAAAUGAUUAGAGGAUUCUAAAAAUGGAGGUCCACGGAAGUGUCAGACCUUUCAGAAUAUCAAGAAAUUAAAUCUGUUAGAAAAGAAAAAUGAAUGAACAAAUAACUUGUUGGAUAUUAGCAUCAUUCUACAAAAUAGUUUCAAAGAGUUCAGCAGAUCAGACAAUUGUUUUUAAUGAGUACUAUGAAGAGAGGUAGAAAAACUAUAUGUUGCCUACCCAUCAUCUGGCUGGGCAAGCUGAAGUUUUUGGGAGGACAUGCAGCAUGAUAUGUUCUAUCAUAAAUUUUAGCCCUUCUCAUCCACAUUGUGGGAAGAAAGGAUAUUUCUUUCUUGAGGAAUAGAAGAAUAUUCAGCUGCAUCCUAUAAGUAAUAUACUACAUAUUCAUAUGUCUUCUGAUGUCAGCUGAUUUCUAUUAGCAAUUUAUAUUAGGUUUUUAUAGAACUCUUCCAACUUCACCGUUUGAGUUGUAACCAGGUAAGAUGCAAUCUCUGAAAAAUUGUCAUGGUAUAAGAUGCAAUAUAACAAUAAUCAUUAAUUUUGUAUGAAGCCGGUUGUGCAUUGUGUUGAUGCUGGUAGGAGAAGGAACCUAAGUGCUUUUAGUGAAAUACAAUAGCUAGAAAUUGUGGAUGGGAAUGAUAACUGUGUACAAAAUUAUUUCUUUUCUAGAUCCUGCCAUCAAUGACUGAGCCUCCCUGAAAUCUUCCUUAUCAGUUACUGCCAAGAUGAGAAGGAUAACAGAAAGGAGGAUUGCUUGUGAUUUUAAUGAUAUUCGAUAAAUAGGUGAAAUAAGUCAUUCUUAAAACUUUUCAAUUUUUGUACAAAAAGACACUCUUUUGGAAGCUGUUUUUGUAAAACCAUUCUCUUUGGUUAAAAAAAAAUCAGAGAUUGUUUAUUUAUAUAAAAUGAAUGAUAUAGUCAUUGAAAAAUUUGUCAAACUUCUUUUUUGGAAAUUUAAACUGUGUACUCAUUUAUUAGAAGGGUGGUGAAUGUUAUGUGAGGAAGUGUUUCUUGCAAGAGUCCUCUUAUGCAAUAGAAUAGUUACUGAUGACACUCAUAAUUAUCUAAAUUACUGUUGCCUCAGCCUCCUGCAACAGUAAAUUGCAUACCUUUUAAGAAUUUCUGAAACAAAUAUGCAGUGAAUAGGAGUUUGUCUCCCUCCUUUCUUGAUUUACACAUUCUUUCUUUGAUCAAAGCUUUUCUAGUCUCCAGAAAGGGAGGCCAAGAAAGAUGCCUUACACAUACUUCACUUUUCUGAAGCAACAAGAGUGGCUUUGGUUUUUUAUGUAUGAAGAUUGCCCAGAUCCAAAUAUUUGAAGAGGAGAGAGAAAUGGUUAGGGUGUAGUCUCACACAAAACCAAGUCCAAGUGUUGCUUUUGCACAUCUUUGCUUCAUGCCAACCCCUUGCACUCCCAGCUUGGUUUUACCAGUCUAAUUCAGAGUUAGAGUCAAACAGGAGCCUACAGUUUACAGGAUCUUUCAAAAAAGUGCCCUGUUUUUGAAAGAACCGAGUCUAGACUGCGGUUUCAAUUUCAA